GACGAACGCUGGCGGCGUGCUUAACACAUGCAAUUCGAACGGAAAGGCCCUGCUUUUGUGGGGUGCUCGAGUGGCGAACGGGUGAGUAACACGUGAGUAACCUGCCCUUGACUUUGGGAUAACUUCAGGAAACUGGGGCUAAUACCGGAUAGGAGCUCCUGCUGCAUGGUGGGGGUUGGAAAGUUUCGGCGGUUGGGGAUGGACUCGCGGCUUAUCAGCUUGUUGGUGGGGUAGUGGCUUACCAAGGCUUUGACGGGUAGCCGGCCUGAGAGGGUGACCGGCCACAUUGGGACUGAGAUACGGCCCAGACUCCUACGGGAGGCAGCAGUGGGGAAUAUUGCACAAUGGGCGGAAGCCUGAUGCAGCAACGCCGCGUGCGGGAUGACGGCCUUCGGGUUGUAAACCGCUUUCGCCUGUGACGAAGCGUGAGUGACGGUAAUGGGUAAAGAAGCACCGGCUAACUACGUGCCAGCAGCCGCGGUGAUACGUAGGGUGCGAGCGUUGUCCGGAUUUAUUGGGCGUAAAGGGCUCGUAGGUGGUUGAUCGCGUCGGAAGUGUAAUCUUGGGGCUUAACCCUGAGCGUGCUUUCGAUACGGGUUGACUUGAGGAAGGUAGGGGAGAAUGGAAUUCCUGGUGGAGCGGUGGAAUGCGCAGAUAUCAGGAGGAACACCAGUGGCGAAGGCGGUUCUCUGGGCCUUUCCUGACGCUGAGGAGCGAAAGCGUGGGGAGCGAACAGGCUUAGAUACCCUGGUAGUCCACGCUGUAAACGGUGGGUACUAGGUGUGGGGUCCAUUCCACGGGUUCCGUGCCGUAGCUAACGCUUUAAGUACCCCGCCUGGGGAGUACGGCCGCAAGGCUAAAACUCAAAGGAAUUGACGGGGCCCCGCACAAGCGGCGGAGCAUGCGGAUUAAUUCGAUGCAACGCGUAGAACCUUACCUGGGUUUGACAUGGAUCGGGAGUGCUCAGAGAUGGGUGUGCCUCUUUUGGGGUCGGUUCACAGGUGGUGCAUGCCUGUCGUCAGCUCGUGUCGUGAGAUGUUGGGUUAAGUCCCGCAACGAGCGCAACCCUUGUUCACUGUUGCCAGCACGUUAUGGUGGGGACUCAGUGGAGACCGCCGGGGUCAACUCGGAGGAAGGUGGUGAUGACGUCAAGUCAUCAUGCCCCUUAUGUCCAGGGCUUCACGCAUGCUACAAUGGCUGGUACAGAGAGUGGCGAGCCUGUGAGGGUGAGCGAAUCUCGGAAAGCCGGUCUCAGUUCGGAUUGGGGUCUGCAACUCGACCUCAUGAAGUCGGAGUCGCUAGUAAUCGCAGAUCAGCAACGCUGCGGUGAAUACGUUCCCGGG
Molecule: ribosomal RNA, 1343 nt
Filed under: uncultured bacterium
Lineage: Bacteria
Description: 16S ribosomal RNA
Rfam family: Bacterial small subunit ribosomal RNA
Source: RNAcentral